RNAcentral lists this ribosomal RNA (1511 nucleotides) under Staphylococcus aureus. Its description in RNAcentral is "partial 16S ribosomal RNA". It matches the Rfam family "Bacterial small subunit ribosomal RNA". Lineage: Bacteria; Bacillati; Bacillota; Bacilli; Caryophanales; Staphylococcaceae. The record is from RNAcentral.
GUGCCUAAUACAUGCAAGUCGAGCGAACGGACGAGAAGCUUGCUUCUCUGAUGUUAGCGGCGGACGGGUGAGUAACACGUGGAUAACCUACCUAUAAGACUGGGAUAACUUCGGGAAACCGGAGCUAAUACCGGAUAAUAUUUUGAACCGCAUGGUUCAAAAGUGAAAGACGGUCUUGCUGUCACUUAUAGAUGGAUCCGCGCUGCAUUAGCUAGUUGGUAAGGUAACGGCUUACCAAGGCAACGAUGCAUAGCCGACCUGAGAGGGUGAUCGGCCACACUGGAACUGAGACACGGUCCAGACUCCUACGGGAGGCAGCAGUAGGGAAUCUUCCGCAAUGGGCGAAAGCCUGACGGAGCAACGCCGCGUGAGUGAUGAAGGUCUUCGGAUCGUAAAACUCUGUUAUUAGGGAAGAACAUAUGUGUAAGUAACUGUGCACAUCUUGACGGUACCUAAUCAGAAAGCCACGGCUAACUACGUGCCAGCAGCCGCGGUAAUACGUAGGUGGCAAGCGUUAUCCGGAAUUAUUGGGCGUAAAGCGCGCGUAGGCGGUUUUUUAAGUCUGAUGUGAAAGCCCACGGCUCAACCGUGGAGGGUCAUUGGAAACUGGAAAACUUGAGUGCAGAAGAGGAAAGUGGAAUUCCAUGUGUAGCGGUGAAAUGCGCAGAGAUAUGGAGGAACACCAGUGGCGAAGGCGACUUUCUGGUCUGUAACUGACGCUGAUGUGCGAAAGCGUGGGGAUCAAACAGGAUUAGAUACCCUGGUAGUCCACGCCGUAAACGAUGAGUGCUAAGUGUUAGGGGGUUUCCGCCCCUUAGUGCUGCAGCUAACGCAUUAAGCACUCCGCCUGGGGAGUACGACCGCAAGGUUGAAACUCAAAGGAAUUGACGGGGACCCGCACAAGCGGUGGAGCAUGUGGUUUAAUUCGAAGCAACGCGAAGAACCUUACCAAAUCUUGACAUCCUUUGACAACUCUAGAGAUAGAGCCUUCCCCUUCGGGGGACAAAGUGACAGGUGGUGCAUGGUUGUCGUCAGCUCGUGUCGUGAGAUGUUGGGUUAAGUCCCGCAACGAGCGCAACCCUUAAGCUUAGUUGCCAUCAUUAAGUUGGGCACUCUAAGUUGACUGCCGGUGACAAACCGGAGGAAGGUGGGGAUGACGUCAAAUCAUCAUGCCCCUUAUGAUUUGGGCUACACACGUGCUACAAUGGACAAUACAAAGGGCAGCGAAACCGCGAGGUCAAGCAAAUCCCAUAAAGUUGUUCUCAGUUCGGAUUGUAGUCUGCAACUCGACUACAUGAAGCUGGAAUCGCUAGUAAUCGUAGAUCAGCAUGCUACGGUGAAUACGUUCCCGGGUCUUGUACACACCGCCCGUCACACCACGAGAGUUUGUAACACCCGAAGCCGGUGGAGUAACCUUUUAGGAGCUAGCCGUCGAAGGUGGGACAAAUGAUUGGGGUGAAGUCGUAACAAGGUAGCCGUAUCGGAAGGUGCGGCUGGAUCACCUCCUUUCU